Molecule: ribosomal RNA, 253 nt
Filed under: uncultured bacterium
Lineage: Bacteria
Description: partial 16S ribosomal RNA
Rfam family: Bacterial small subunit ribosomal RNA
Source: RNAcentral
UACAGAGGUCUCAAGCGUUGUUCGGAAUCACUGGGCGUAAAGGGUGCGUAGGCCGCACGGUAAGUCAGGUGUGAAAUCCCCGGGCUCAACCCGGGAACUGCGUCCGAGACUGAAAGGCUUGAAUCCGGGAGAGGGAUGUGGAAUUCCAGGUGUAGCGGUGAAAUGCGUAGAUAUCUGGAGGAACAUCGGUGGCGAAGGCGGCAUCCUGGACCGGUAUUGACGCUGAGGCGCGAAAGCCAGGGGAGCAAACGGG